GGGAGGAACAGCAGUGCCACCUGUCCCACCAGCCUACCUCUUGGACCUUGGGGCAGAACUGCAGCCAGAACUGGAAAUCAGAUUUCUGCUUCACCUGCAAAAGAACUGGAAUUCCCGUCAAGGCUCAGUGGAAACAAACCCAGCUAGUAUCCAUGGGGAGGCGGGUUCGAUCCCUGGCCUCGCUCAGUGUGUUAAGGAUCCAGCAAUGCCCUGAGCUGUGGUGUAGGUCGCAGAUGCAGCUCAGAUCUCGAGUGGCUGUGGCUGUAGCAUAGGCCGGCGGCUAUAGCUCCGAUUUGGGCUCCUAGCCUGGAAACCCCCAUAUGCCACAGGAAAAGCUCACAACAAGUCCUGCCUUCUCGGAAUAAAAGUCAGAACUUGAAUUCCCAGCCUUCCCUGAAGGAAGGAGAAAGUCUUGACCCUUCAAAUGCUCCCAAGCAAGACCUGAAUUUGGAAGUAAAUAACCUAAGAGGGGGGGGUUGGAGGAAGGAAGAGGGAAGAGGAGGGGAGCGGUCUGCUAGUACCUCCCCACUUCCUUAAAAGUGUUUUCGUCCAUGGCAGAGACAUCCGGCUUUCAGUGGUGGCAGCUGUUUCCCAGACAUUGCAAGGUCAAUGGGACAGGAAGUUUCAUUAGUGCAAGCAGAGGUGGCAUGUGCGACCAAGCAGGUAUGGGGCACUGGGUGCCUCGUGCAGAGGCCACCGCUCUCUAUUCCUGGAGUCUGAGGCUGGGCUUUGGGAAUGCUCUUGGAAGUUCAGUUCCAGCUCUUCCUCCCACCUGUCGGAGGAAGAGAAAGCCUAGAAGCUCACCAGACCCAUUUUCUCUCCAUCCUUGGGUACCCACAGAGCUGGACUGCCUUUCCCAGCCUUCCUUGCUUUUGUGUGUGGCCACAUGACUGCUGCCUUCUGACUAAUGGAACAUGGACAGAAGUGAUGCACUUCCAUGCCUGGUCCCUAAAACCCCCAGAGCCAUUCUCUGUGCUCUUACCUCCCAGAAGGAAGUAGAAAAUCCAUCCCAUGGAAGACACAAGGUCCCUAGACAAUGGUGGAGCCACUAGAAAAAAGCAGCUUGAGCCCUUGAAUCUCUGCUGAUAGGACUGUGUCUCCAAAUAAGCCUCUUUUUGUAUUAAGCCACUUUGAUUUGGGUGCUGUGAUAAGGUUAGCCGGUCCUGACUAAUACACAUAAUGAAUCCAUUUUCUGCUGAACUAGUCAAGGUAGGUUUUAUUUUUUAUGACCAAGGGCUCUGAGUGUUUCACUUCCCAACCUGAUCUGCCCUCAGGUGGUCUGAUCUGAGAGGAGGUCUGAUCAGACCAGGAGGCACUGUGUCACCUCUCCUCCUGGCAGUCCCCACCCUUCCUCAGGCCCAGGCCACAUAAGUCCCUCUAAGAAAGUCAGCUUCUUCUCCUCUACAAUCUUAGUGGGGCCUGUGACUUCUCGCCUAACUUCUGCUUGAUGCUGAAGAAAGGCAGGCAUGUUUUUCCUGGUACCCCUGAAAUCUGUAUAAGGACUCCUGCCCCUCCUCUUCUUUAUUAUAAGGUGAUCUGGUCGAAAUCAUGCUUUGAUUUAGCACAGAAGACAACCUUUUGCAUAUCUGGUCCCCCCCACCCCUUCAUUCUCCCCUAUCCACAGGGGUGGGCUUGUGGCAGCCAUGUUUGUAUCACGUGACUGACUCCUUGAAGUUGAUUGGACCAGGAUCUGGCACGUGACCCAAGCUGAGCCAAUCUGAGACUUUGUGUCCGAAACGAGGCCCUGCAGCUCACUCCGGCUGCCCUGAGCCCAUCUGUUGAAUGGGACCGUCCGUCUCCUGUGGCAGGUGGACUGUGAAACAGGCCUAGAGGAAGCCAGUGGGCUAACAAAAUCAAAGCAGCAAAAAUAAAGAGAAGGUGAGUGAAGGAGAAAGUGGGAACUGAGCUUGGCGCAUCCUAGGUUGUGGGUCCACAAGCAAACACUCAGUAAAAUAAAUUUUCUCUAGUUUGCUAGUUCAAGGUCUUUUUGAAAACUCUGAAGCCAAAGAGUUGCAACUGAUACAGAAAGAAAUAGAAAAGGUCACCCCAGAUUCCACCCCGUGGAAACCGAGGCACCUCCUGGCUUGUCAUGAACUGGGAAACCGAAAAAUACUCUGAGCUGGGGAAAAUGUGGCAGCUGCAUAGAUCUCUCGGGAUUUAUCUUUGGUACUCGAGUGAUUUUCCAGCCCAACAACCUCACGUGAGAGCUGAGCAAAGGCAGGGAACCCAGAGAGCUGGCGUGACUCACCCAGGCUCCCUCCCACAGGCAGCGAGGGUUGGGGCUAGAGUCCUGGUCCCUGAACCUGAAAAGCAUCCCUUUCCUACUUUGGGCCCGCGGUGGGCGCUGGGGCCAGGCGGGAGCCAUCAGGAUAAAUCAGCACGUGUUGCUAGGCUGGCGACAAAUGACGCGUCUAAUUCCCUGGCCCAGCCAGCCCCGCGCGGCGGAGUAGCGCGCUCCGUGCGCACACGUGUGCACUCGGCCGGCGCGGGAGCAGCUGCAGAGGUUGGGCCUCCCGGGAGAGGACGGGGUGGGCGUGAGUGUUGAGGGGGGGCGCCAUGCCACCCCACCCCUGCGCGGCAGGGAGGGCCCCGCCAGCCGGGCCUUUCAGAGUUAAUUAGCCUUCAUGCAUAUGGAUGGCACUGCCGAUUGAACACGGUGGAGGGGUCGUGACCUGACCCCGGCGAGGCGUGCGGAAAGAAAAGACUGCUUUUCCCAGCUCGGUCCCUAAUUGAAAGCCCAGUUGCCGGGCGCUGCGCCGGGGUGUGAUCGCCGCCGCCCCAUUUCUCCCGCAGAAGGAACACUUCGGGGGGAGCUGCCCCCGGCGCCCGGCCCCCUUUAGCAGCCCCUCUAAUGACCUGCGGGGAUGUGCAGGCGGCCCGACGACCGUCCCCCUGAUAUGUCGCCGUAAUGAUAUCUGCACUGGGGAUUUAUUCCGAAGCUGUCCUUUUCCGUGAUGGUUUUCAUUUCCUGUCAUUUAAAGCUGGAAGCAUUUAUGGAAUAUCACAUGGUUUUCGUUUACACAGGAAAUCAGCUGCAGUUGCGAGAAGAUGCGGACUUACUUUUUUGUUUGUUUUUUUAAUCCUUCCUCC
This 3090-nucleotide long non-coding RNA is filed under the name Sus scrofa (pig). Its description in RNAcentral is "lncRNA (ENSSSCG00060058415.1)". Lineage: Eukaryota; Metazoa; Chordata; Mammalia; Artiodactyla; Suidae. The record is from RNAcentral.